AUUGAACGCUGGCGGCAGGCCUAACACAUGCAAGUCGAGCGGAGCGGCGGACGGGUGAGUGAUGCCUAGGAAUCUGCCUGGUAGUGGGGGAUAACGUCCGGAAACGGGCGCUAAUACCGCAUCCUAUCAGAUGAGCCUAGGUGGGAUUAGCUAGUUGGUGGGGUAAGGGCCUACAAAGGCGACGAUCCGUAACUGGUCUGAGUGGAUGAUCAGUCAAACUGGAACUGAGACACGGCCCAGACGCCUACGGGAGGCAGCAGUGGGGAAUAUUGGGCAAUGGGCGAAAGCCUGAUCCAGCCAGGCCGCGGGUGUGAAGAAGGUCUUCGGAUUGUAAAGCACUGUAAGUUGGGAGGCGUUACCAACAGAAGAAGCACCGGCUAACUUCGUGCCAGCAGCCGCGGUAAUUC
RNAcentral lists this ribosomal RNA (407 nucleotides) under uncultured bacterium. RNAcentral describes it as "partial 16S ribosomal RNA". It matches the Rfam family "Bacterial small subunit ribosomal RNA", at positions 30 to 526 of the family's 1533-position model. The record is from RNAcentral.